This 876-nucleotide ribosomal RNA is filed under the name uncultured bacterium. Its description in RNAcentral is "bacterial SSU rRNA". It matches the Rfam family "Bacterial small subunit ribosomal RNA", at positions 52 to 924 of the family's 1533-position model. The record is from RNAcentral.
CACAUGCAAGUCGAACGCUGAAGCCUAGCUUGAUGGGUGGAUGAGUGGCGAACGGGUGAGUAACACGUGAGUAACCUGCCCCCUUCUUUGGGAUAACGCCCGGAAACGGGUGCUAAUACUGGAUAUUCACUGGUCUUCGCAUGGGGGUUGGUGGAAAGGUUUUUUCUGGUGGGGGAUGGGCUCGCGGCCUAUCAGCUUGUUGGUGGGGUGAUGGCCUACCAAGGCUUUGACGGGUAGCCGGCCUGAGAGGGUGACCGGUCACAUUGGGACUGAGAUACGGCCCAGACUCCUACGGGAGGCAGCAGUGGGGAAUAUUGCACAAUGGGCGAAAGCCUGAUGCAGCGACGCCGCGUGAGGGAUGGAGGCCUUCGGGUUGUAAACCUCUUUCGCUCAUGGUCAAGCCGCAACACAUGGUUGUGGUGAGGGUAGUGGGUAAAGAAGCGCCGGCUAACUACGUGCCAGCAGCCGCGGUAAUACGUAGGGCGCGAGCGUUGUCCGGAAUUAUUGGGCGUAAAGGGCUUGUAGGCGGUUGGUCGCGUCUGCCGUGAAAUCCUCUGGCUUAAUUGGGGGCGUGCGGUGGGUACGGGCUGACUUGAGUGCGGUAGGGGAGACUGGAACUCCUGGUGUAGCGGUGGAAUGCGCAGAUAUCAGGAAGAACACCGGUGGCGAAGGCGGGUCUCUGGGCCGUUACUGACGCUGAGGAGCGAAAGCGUGGGGAGCGAACAGGAUUAGAUACCCUGGUAGUCCACGCUGUAAACGUUGGGCACUAGGUGUGGGGGCCACCCGUGGUUUCUGCGCCGUAGCUAACGCUUUAAGUGCCCCGCCUGGGGAGUACGGCCGCAAGGCUAAAACUCAAAGGAAUUGACGGGGGCCCGC